AUCGCUUCUCGGCCUUUUGGCUAAGAUCAAGUGUAGUAUCUGUUCUUAUCAGAUACUCGGCCUUCUCGGCCUUUUGGCUAAGAUCAAGUGUAGUAUCUGUUCUUAUCAGAUGCUGUUUCGAUCUUGCUUAUAAGACCCUGACUGCGAUCGCCUCCUGCACUGUCUGAGCCUGUGCCUGUCUGU
Molecule: small nuclear RNA, 183 nt
Organism: Labrus mixtus (cuckoo wrasse)
Lineage: Eukaryota; Metazoa; Chordata; Actinopteri; Labriformes; Labridae
Product: U2 spliceosomal RNA
Exons: 1
Source: RefSeq, a predicted model, not a curated record